AACGAACGCUGGCGGCAUGCCUAACACAUGCAAGUCGAACGAGACCUUCGGGUCUAGUGGCGCACGGGUGCGUAACGCGUGGGAACCUGCCCUUAGGUUCGGAAUAACUCCCCGAAAGGGGUGCUAAUACCGGAUAAUGUCUUCGGACCAAAGAUUUAUCGCCUUUGGAUGGGCCCGCGUUGGAUUAGCUAGUUGGUAGGGUAAAAGCCUACCAAGGCGACGAUCCACAGCUGGUCUGAGAGGAUGAUCAGCCACACUGGGACUGAGACACGGCCCAGACUCCUACGGGAGGCAGCAGUGGGGAAUAUUGGACAAUGGGCGAAAGCCUGAUCCAGCAAUGCCGCGUGAGUGAUGAAGGCCUUAGGGUUGUAAAGCUCUUUUACCCGGGAUGAUAAUGACAGUACCGGGAGAAUAAGCUCCGGCUAAAUCCGUG
Molecule: ribosomal RNA, 433 nt
Filed under: uncultured bacterium
Lineage: Bacteria
Description: partial 16S ribosomal RNA
Rfam family: Bacterial small subunit ribosomal RNA
Source: RNAcentral